GUUGAAGAAGGGACCCCCUUGGUGCCUAAACUGACUUUGAUGUUCAUGAGAAAGAAACUAUCAGGUCCAGCCACAAAGAGUUUCUAUGUAAUCUGAGCUUCAUCCAAUUUUCUCAAUCUACAAGUUUGAGAAAGAUGAUAUUUUUUUCUUUAAAGCAUUUGGAAUCUGCAGUGGGAAAGCUCUAUGUUUCAUCCCAUAUAAAUUCUGUUACUCAUGCAUGGCUGGAGAAGGAUAGUAACUUAAAGGAAGCUGCUCAGAGGUCAUCAUAUACAUAGGAGGAAGUCCAGGAGCCUCUGAUCCACCAGUGAAGUGCACAGUGGAGCAGUGAAGUGCUCCAAAGAGGAAGCAAUGCUCUGUGCAAAACUAGGCAAAGGCAUCCACAAGAGAAGGGUUAGAAAGUAUCCAUUGGGUUGAGGACAUUAUUAUUAGUGAUAUUCAAAAUCAAGAGUAUUAUAGGAGGGCUGAGUGUGGCUCCAGGUCACCAGCACCAGGAGAAAGAAGUGGAAAGAGAAUGGGUGAACGAUUUUCAAGAGGCUUGGGCAAAGGAAUAGAGCAAGGUAAUACUGUUACUAGAGGGAUGUUUAGAGUGAAGCAAGGGUUUUCAGACAUGAAUAGGUAAAAUGAAUGGGUGAACUAUUGAUAAACAUUCCUCAUUCAUAUUAGUGAGUUAAAAAGUCACAUCUCACAUCUCUGUUUAAACCUAACUCUACUUCUAAUUCUAAAACAUUUUCUAGAUUUUUACCUCAUUCCUGUGAGGUUAGAUUUUAACCUUUCUAUGUGCAGGGGGGUGUCUUUUCUCUAUGUUCCCUAACACAAAAUGGACACCAAGAACACAGUAGGAAUGUAAUAAAUAUUUUAUUGAUAUUUAGCAACAAUGGACUUCUAGAUUGUUUGAUGGGAAAUGAGAUUCUGAGGAAAAUACAUAGUACAGUAUUACAUAACAGAGAUAGGAAUUUUACAGGAAUUUUUUCAGAAAUAAUGAUAGGAUAAAUUAGAAAUUAGAGAAGUAAUUCUAUUUACAAGAAUUCUGAUACGCUUGACUAGGGAGACCUUAGAACAUUAAUCAGUAAAUAUUUUAAUAUAACUUUCUGGGCGGCUAGCAAUUAUCAUAUUAUGAGAGUAUAAAAUUGCACAGCUGUAUUAUGUCAUAAAAGACUAACAUGUUCUUGCACUUGAAUUUUUCACUUUUUUUGUGAUUAGUAUAUAUUAUUUAUAGAGCAUUGUGGCAUUUUCACACAUUACACUUUGAUUAUGUUUAUCCCAUUAUCCACCCUUUCUCUCUUGCCUUCCUAAUCACCUCAUCUUCUCUAAGAAUCUCCCUUCUACUUUCAUGUCAGGUGUUAUCUUUGCUUCAUGUAUUGAUCUUAUUAAUGCAAAUAAAUUACUACUAGUAGAGCACCUCUGCUUGUAUCAUGUUUAAUUUUCACAUUAGGCAUUUAAUUCUAAUACAGCUCAGAAAUUUAGGCUGGGAGCUGCAUUUAUUCAUACUUAAUGACAGAACUGGAUUUAGAAUUCAGUUUUGCUACUUCUCAGGCUGAGAAUUUUGCACAAUAAAAGCUUAAUAAAGGCAUGUGUGACAUUUACAUUUUAAGUAUUUAACUGCAUACGGUCUUGCGAGUUUUUGUGUUUGCCUUCCUUUCUGUGUUUUUUUUCAUGUGUUUACAAUAAUCCACUCACCUAAAUAUAACUGACUAUUCAACACAUCUAUUAAAUAUGUAUUAAUUAGAAAGCUUAUACGUAGUGAAGAUUUGAGGACAACCUCCAUCUGCAAAGCCCACUCAGGUUGCCUGAAACCCUUGUCACUUUACAGGGAUGGAACUUGGUAGGUUUGUUUGACUUUAGCACUUUUUGUCUUAGAUCUGUGUUCAAAUUCAUUUUAUACAGGAAACUAACUGAAUUUUUUUGAUCAUAGAAGCAGCAUAUCAUAGAAGCACUGUGACUAUCAGAGACCUUGUUCAGGGGAUGGUUGGUGACUAGAAGGAUGGAGGUAGUCUUUGGGUCCUGAAUUCCAUGAAUACCAAUUUUGUCUCUAACUGUUUACAUGCAAAGCAGAUUUGGCCACAGUAAAAAAAACACAAAUGUAGUGAAAAUUAUGGUAAUAAAUCAGAAACACAAUUUCAAACAAUAGGAAGUUUUAAUCUUCAGGGAUCAUUGAAGGAUGUAUUUAGCUUUUACAAAUAGCAUGAUAAAAACUGCAUGGUAGUUGCAAUAAAAAGACCUGAAGAUCAAUGCAAUAGAUUAGAAGAUGCAGAAACAACUACAACCACACUCAACCACUUUAUCUUUGACUAUAGGGCCAGAUACCAUCACUGGAAGAAAGAUAACAUCUUCAAUAAAUGAUGCUGAAAAAACUGACUUUCCACAUUCCAAAGAUUAAAUAUAGACCCAUAUCUCUCACCAUGCACUAAACUAAAAUCAAAAUGGAUCAAAGAUCUCAAUAUUAGAACAGAAACACUAAAUCCGCUGGAAGAUAAAAUAGUUAGAAGUCUGGAAGACACUGGUGUAGGAAAAGACUUUAUGAACAAAAUUGCACAGGAUAUUUCAUAAAGAAUCAACAACUGGCAUCUCAUCUUACUUAAAAAAAAAAACUUUUUCACAGCAAAAGAAACCAUAAACAGAUUGAAGAGACAACCCAUAGAAUGGGAAAGAUUUUUGCCAACUAUUCCUCAAAGGACUUAUAUCUAUAAUAUAUAAAGAAUUUUAAAAACUGGACCUCCAAAUUUAAAGGCUCAAUCCAUAGGUGGGCAGCUGAAUUGAAGAGACACUUCUCAGAUGAAGAACGAUAAAUAGGAUAGAAAUAUUUGAAGAAAUGUUCAACAUCACUGUUCAUUUGAGAGAUAAAGUAGGACUUGCAGUUUCUGCCCUUGAAUGUAAGAAGUCUGGAAGUUGCCGCUGUGCCCUAACAGAGCUGAACACACUAAAAAUCAACCCUUCUUGGAAGUGAAGACACAGAGCAAUCCCCUCUCCUCACAAAUUAGACAGAUGGAGAAGUUUGAUAUGGAGAAUCAGAACUUACCUGGGACAGCAACCAUGAGCAAAACCAAGUUUACAGAUCUGGCUCCCUGUGACUUCUGGCUCUUGCCUUAAGACAAAAGAAUAAAUUCAGCACAUUGAAGGAGAGAUGACAGCUCACAAAAUGGAUCUCCAGAUCUGUGUCAGAAAGCGGCAAGAACAAUGGGUUAAGUGUUUGAAGCAAGGGGGAGUAUGUGGAGAGGGAUGAAUGGCAAUGUGUCUUACUGUAAAAUGUUUUAGAAGUUAAAGAUUCACCAUAAUUUUCAAUCACAUCUCAUGCAUGUGGGAAGUCCAUUAUUUUGCAUCUUGAAAUAGGGAACAAAUCAGAUUUUCAUUGUACAUACGUGGUUAGUGGUAGUGAAAAGGCAAGUGGGAGCCAACGCUGUGCAAAGCCCACACACAGCUGUGGUUAUUGUGUUUGUCUCAGAAAUCAUAAUAGGAUUAAGGGGAUAUAUAUAUAUAUAUGCAUAAUCUAUAGGAUAAAUUUAUUGCUUAUGAUAAUAAGAGAGGAUGCUACCCUUGAGCAAAGGAGAGAUAUGAUCAGUGCUG
RNAcentral lists this long non-coding RNA (3561 nucleotides) under Heterocephalus glaber (naked mole-rat). Its description in RNAcentral is "lncRNA (ENSHGLG00100051866.1)". Lineage: Eukaryota; Metazoa; Chordata; Mammalia; Rodentia; Bathyergidae. The record is from RNAcentral.